This 317-nucleotide long non-coding RNA is filed under the name Elaeis guineensis (African oil palm). Its description in RNAcentral is "long non-coding RNA (EGUI_LNC068719)". The record is from RNAcentral. Lineage: Eukaryota; Viridiplantae; Streptophyta; Magnoliopsida; Arecales; Arecaceae.
CUGAUUAUCCUGUAGAUGAUCGCAGCAAGCUUGAGGUUCUGAUUUAGCCACGCAAUCGUCUGGCCUCUAUCAGUAUCCACAUAGGCAAAAUCUAGAUUAUCUUCUUCUCAUGAAUUUUUGUUCCAAAAAUUAGAACUAAAUCUGAUUAGGAAGAUCUUCAAAAGUUUUCCUGAAGUUGGAGCAGCAGCUUGUCGAAGAACUCCUGCAGCCUUUCUGUUCAAGGCAUCACCACACCUUGAUCUUGCACCAGAUGGAUGCCCAACUCCUUGGGCAUGAAGAGGGGAGGGAGUACUUCAGAUGGGAUGUGGAGAAGAGGA